This 481-nucleotide ribosomal RNA is filed under the name uncultured bacterium. RNAcentral describes it as "bacterial SSU rRNA". It matches the Rfam family "Bacterial small subunit ribosomal RNA", at positions 501 to 981 of the family's 1533-position model. The record is from RNAcentral.
CUACGUGCCAGCAGCCGCGGUAAUACGUAGGGUGCGAGCGUUAAUCGGAAUUACUGGGCGUAAAGCGAGCGCAGACGGUUACUUAAGCAGGAUGUGAAAUCCCCGGGCUCAACCUGGGAACUGCGUUCUGAACUGGGUGACUAGAGUGUGUCAGAGGGAGGUAGAAUUCCACGUGUAGCAGUGAAAUGCGUAGAGAUGUGGAGGAAUACCGAUGGCGAAGGCAGCCUCCUGGGAUAACACUGACGUUCAUGCUCGAAAGCGUGGGUAGCAAACAGGAUUAGAUACCCUGGUAGUCCACGCCCUAAACGAUGUCAAUUAGCUGUUGGGCAACUUGAUUGCUUAGUAGCGUAGCUAACGCGUGAAAUUGACCGCCUGGGGAGUACGGUCGCAAGAUUAAAACUCAAAUGAAUUGACGGGGGCCCGCACAAGCGGUGGAGCAUGUGGUUUAAUUCGAUGCAACGCGAAGAACCUUACCUACUCU